This 444-nucleotide ribosomal RNA is filed under the name Salmonella enterica. RNAcentral's name for it is "partial 23S ribosomal RNA". It matches the Rfam family "Bacterial large subunit ribosomal RNA", at positions 774 to 1216 of the family's 2925-position model. The record is from RNAcentral. Lineage: Bacteria; Pseudomonadati; Pseudomonadota; Gammaproteobacteria; Enterobacterales; Enterobacteriaceae. RNAcentral also lists the same sequence under 1 other name.
CCGAACCGACUAAUGUUGAAAAAUUAGCGGAUGACCUGUGGCUGGGGGUGAAAGGCCAAUCAAACCGGGAGAUAGCUGGUUCUCCCCGAAAGCUAUUUAGGUAGCGCCUCGUGAAUUCAUCUCCGGGGGUAGAGCACUGUUUCGGCUAGGGGGCCAUCCCGGCUUACCAACCCGAUGCAAACUGCGAAUACCGGAGAAUGUUAUCACGGGAGACACACGGCGGGUGCUAACGUCCGUCGUGAAGAGGGAAACAACCCAGACCGCCAGCUAAGGUCCCAAAGUCAUGGUUAAGUGGGAAACGAUGUGGGAAGGCCCAGACAGCCAGGAUGUUGGCUUAGAAGCAGCCAUCAUUUAAAGAAAGCGUAAUAGCUCACUGGUCGAGUCGGCCUGCGCGGAAGAUGUAACGGGGCUAAACCAUGCACCGAAGCUGCGGCAGCGACACUG